RNAcentral lists this ribosomal RNA (497 nucleotides) under uncultured bacterium. RNAcentral describes it as "partial 16S ribosomal RNA". It matches the Rfam family "Bacterial small subunit ribosomal RNA", at positions 28 to 507 of the family's 1533-position model. The record is from RNAcentral.
GAUGAACGCUGGCGGCGUGCCUAAUACGUGCAAGUCGAGCGAACAGAUGAGGAGCUUGCUCCUCUGACGUUAGCGGCGGACGGGUGAGUAACACGUGGAUAACCUACCUAUAAGACUGGGAUAACUUCGGGAAACCGGAGCUAAUACCGGAUAAUAUAUUGAACCGCAUGGUUCAAUAGUGAAAUACGGUUUUGCUGUCACUUAUAGAUGGAUCCGCGCCGCAUUAGCUAGUUGGUAAGGUAACGGCUUACCAAGGCAACGAUGCGUAGCCGACCUGAGAGGGGGAUCGGCCACACUGGAACUGAGACACGGUCCAGACUCCUACGGGAGGCAGCAGUAGGGAAUCUUCCGCAAUGGGCGAAAGCCUGACGGAGCAACGCCGCGUGAGUGAUGAAGGUCUUCGGAUCGUAAAACUCUGUUAUUAGGGAAGAACAAAUGUGUAAGUAACUAUGCACGUCUUGACGGUACCUAAUCAGAAAGCCACGGCUAACUACGUG